RNAcentral lists this long non-coding RNA (563 nucleotides) under Mustela putorius furo (domestic ferret). RNAcentral describes it as "lncRNA (ENSMPUG00000024392.1)". Lineage: Eukaryota; Metazoa; Chordata; Mammalia; Carnivora; Mustelidae. The record is from RNAcentral.
AUGGGCCUGCUGGCUCUGGUGGGCUGGUGCCAUAGUCCCGCCCUUGCCAUUGCAGGCAGCUGUUCUCCUUGGAUACCCCACACCGCUGUCCCCCAUCCGCCUCUGCAUCCUUGUAGGUCUCCAAACGCAGUCUGGAUCCUCCCACCUCUGAACUCUGCCUCCAGUGCUCCUUCAUCUGAGGUGCCCUAUUUAAGCCCCCAACUGUCUUUAAUGCUUGACCCAAAUGCACACUCUCUGCAAAAUCCUACAAGACAUCUCCAGUCAGAAACAACAGAUCCUGCUUCUGAUUUCAGACAGAGAUCACAAGUAGGCAGAGAGGUACGCAGAGAGAAGCGAGGGGGAGGAGGCUCCCCGCUGAGCAGAAUGCCCGAUAUGGGCUCAAUUCCAGGACCCUUAUAUCAUGACCUGAGCCGAAGGCAGAGGCUUAACCCACUGAGCCACCGAAGCGCCCCUUUUCUUGUUGUUUUAUUUUGGUUUGUUUGAUUUUUAAUACAUCAUGAUAAUGCUAAUGUCACAUGAUUAUACUGUCAGAUAAAACUACUAAGUAUUUUAGGACCUGUUCA